GACAGUUUGCUUACCUUACUGUUGAAGUGCUCUGAGAGUCUUGGGGCCCAUUCUGCUAUAUAUAUCUUACAUGAAACUGAACAUUAACAUUCCAGCUUCUGUUCUCUGGAUCAUCAGCAGUUUGGGAUUCCAGCAGGAAUAACCAAAGCAGAGUGUUGUCUUUAAAGCAGGACAGCGGGAUUCUGCAGUUUACACUUCACUGCAAUGGAAGAACAUUUUAGCCACUUCGUUCUAAAACAGUUCCAUUUCCAAAGAAUUGCAAAGUUGUUCCAUUUCCAAGAAGUUGUAAAACAAGCAAGACAUAGCUCUGCAGAAAGUACUCUUGCUUGAGGUUUCUCGUUGCAUGAAUCUGUUUCUGGUCAAAUGAAUGUGUGAAGCAUGAUAUUAAACCCAGUACUCUCUCUGCAGG
This is a long non-coding RNA of Ornithorhynchus anatinus (platypus), 409 nucleotides long. RefSeq lists it as uncharacterized. NCBI's taxonomy places the organism in Eukaryota, Metazoa, Chordata, Mammalia, Monotremata, Ornithorhynchidae. The transcript has 3 exons. The record is from RefSeq and is a predicted model, not a curated record.